RNA transcript from Cynoglossus semilaevis (tongue sole), 1054 nucleotides. It is a transcript of the gene named sperm acrosome membrane-associated protein 4-like, with no coding region annotated. The record is from RefSeq and is a predicted model, not a curated record. Lineage: Eukaryota; Metazoa; Chordata; Actinopteri; Pleuronectiformes; Cynoglossidae. The transcript is spliced from 6 exons.
AUCAUAUCAACUCCUCACUCUGGAAUGUCAUUAGGCUGGUUGGAGCUCCUAACAGUGUGUGUAUGUGCGGUGAAGGGAAAUGGUAGGAGAGGGAAACGUGACUUCACCUGCAGCACAAGUGAUUCAUGAGGUGUCACCCGUGGUGCUCAGAGCAGAGGGGAGUACUGCAUGACGGGGGAGAAGGAAGAGGAAGAUGACUUUCAAUCACACCACUCCAAACCUUUCACCUCUGAGCCCCACUGCUGGUUAUGUCAUCACCCCGUUUAUAUUCCUGUUCCUGAUUGGAUGUGCUGUAGCAGUGAUUGUAUAUGUGAGGAAAAAAAUAAGAGUGGAUGAAUUACGUCACAAGCUGAUUCCACUGUACAACUACGACCCUGCAGAGGAGUACGAAUGGAGAGAUGAUGACGUGGACGACGAUGAGGACGUGACUGAACCAUUGUACACGGAGGGAAGACUGUCCUUUUCAUCUGAUUAUGGAACGUGAAAACAAAUGUAUCAUUAAAAACGGACGAUACACACACCAUUCAUCACCACAUGUCUUAUUUCUAAAUAUAUUAAAAAUAAAAAAUAAGGCGCGGAAAGCAUUCCGUCUGGGUUCUUAAUGUGUUUGUUAACAUCAAGGUUAUUCAACACAGUAGCCAAUAGAUGGCACUGUUACUCUACUUUAAAUCUCAGUGGACACCGAUAAAAGAGGAGAAAUCGUCAUUUUUAAAACUAAGUUCAAAUAUAAAUGAUGUUUAUUGUUGAUGUUUAUGAGUAGUUUUCUCUGUCUCUGUGCUGCUACUUUGACCGUGCCCAUGUGUCAGCUGAUUAGGAGCCAAAGUCACAGCUGUUGGUGUUUGCUAAUCAGUAGCUCUGUCUUAAUUUUGAGGAUUUGCAGGCUGCUGCAGUAUGAGAUCACAAAGAAUGGACAGACGAGGUGUUCGUCACAUGGGACCACAUUGGUUCCUGACCGUCACUGUGCUGUCCACAGCUCUGGUCCUCCCAGCUGUAACCCUGGACACCCUGCUGUGUCACUUUUGUCCUCUACAGUACAAAGGCAAAACCUGUACCA